RNAcentral lists this ribosomal RNA (488 nucleotides) under uncultured bacterium. Its description in RNAcentral is "partial 16S ribosomal RNA". It matches the Rfam family "Bacterial small subunit ribosomal RNA", at positions 30 to 507 of the family's 1533-position model. The record is from RNAcentral.
UGACCGCUGGCGGCAGGCCUACCACAUGCACGUCGACCGGUAACAGGCAGAAGCUUGCUUCUUUGCUGACGAGUGGCGGACGGGUGAGUAAUGUCUGGGAAACUGCCUGAUGGAGGGGGAUAACUACUGGAAACGGUAGCUAAUACCGCAUAACGUCGCAAGACCAAAGAGGGGGACCUUCGGGCCUCUUGCCAUCGGAUGUGCCCAGAUGGGAUUAGCUAGUAGGUGGGGUAACGGCUCACCUAGGCGACGAUCCCUAGCUGGUCUGAGAGGAUGACCAGCCACACUGGAACUGAGACACGGUCCAGACUCCUACGGGAGGCAGCAGUGGGGAAUAUUGCACAAUGGGCGCAAGCCUGAUGCAGCCAUGCCGCGUGUACGAAGAAGGCCUUCGGGUUGUAAAGUACUUUCAGCGGGGAGGAAGGGAGUAAAGUUAAUACCUUUGCUCAUUGACGUUACCCGCAGAAGAAGCACCGGCUAACUCCGUG